CGGUUCUGCCCCCCAGCGACAGGGCUGUUUAGCCAAAGUGGAGACAGUCGGUCUUCCCAUCCAGCAGCAGAGCUGUGUAUCUAAAGGGGAGACAGUCGGUCUCCCCCUCCAGCAACCAGGCUCCAACCAGACUACUCUUGUGGUAGUGCUGGCACCAGGACAGAGCACCGCUGGUCUCUGCCCACUCAGCAACCCACCCAGUCCACUUACCA
Non-coding RNA from Pelobates cultripes (western spadefoot toad), 212 nucleotides. The record is from the annotation of a GenBank genome assembly. NCBI's taxonomy places the organism in Eukaryota, Metazoa, Chordata, Amphibia, Anura, Pelobatidae.